RNAcentral lists this ribosomal RNA (460 nucleotides) under uncultured bacterium. Its description in RNAcentral is "partial 16S ribosomal RNA". It matches the Rfam family "Bacterial small subunit ribosomal RNA", at positions 338 to 795 of the family's 1533-position model. The record is from RNAcentral.
CCUACGGGGGGCAGCAGUGAGGAAUAUUGGUCAAUGGGCUUACGCCUGAACCAGCCAAGUCGCGUGAGGGAAGACUGCCCUAUGGGUUGUAAACCUCUUUUGUCAGGGAGCAACGCCGGCUACGUGUAGCCGGACUGAGAGUACCUGAAGAAAAAGCAUCGGCUAACUCCGUGCCAGCAGCCGCGGUAAUACGGAGGAUGCGAGCGUUAACCGGAUUUACUGGGGGUAAAGGGUUCGUAGGCGGGAUGCCCAGUCAGCGGUAAAACCGCGGGGCCAAACUGGGAACCGCCGUUGAAACUGGCAAACUGGAGUGGGUGAGAGGGUAGUGGAAUGCGAGGUGUAGGAGUGAAAUGCGUAGAUAUCGCGAAGAACAUCGGUGGCGAAGGCGACAAUCUGGCACAUAACUGACGCUGAGGCGCGAAAGCGUGGGUAGCGAACAGGAUUAGAUACCCUUGUAGUC